Molecule: ribosomal RNA, 253 nt
Filed under: uncultured bacterium
Lineage: Bacteria
Description: partial 16S ribosomal RNA
Rfam family: Bacterial small subunit ribosomal RNA
Source: RNAcentral
GACGUAGGGCGCAGGCGUUGUCCGGAUUUAUUGGGCGUAAAGAGCUCGUAGGCGGCUUGUCGCGUCGACCGUGAAAACCCGCAGCUCAACUGCGGGCUUGCGGUCGAUACGGGCAGGCUCGAGUUCGGUAGGGGAGACUGGAAUUCCUGGUGUAGCGGUGAAAUGCGCAGAUAUCAGGAGGAACACCGGUGGCGAAGGCGGGUCUCUGGGCCGAUACUGACGCUGAGGAGCGAAAGCGUGGGGAGCGAACAGG